UAUCUAAGCUAUAAGAACAUCUUGGUAGGCAGGAGUCGCACAUUGGUCAUCGUGGUGGUUUCCCUUCAAGAUGGUGUCACACUCCUGCCAUGCAACAGACUGUUUUCCUGCAAGACAUAUGCUUUCAUUUGUUCAUGGGUAAACUCCUAGGAGUAGAAUGGCUGGUUCAUAUUGGGAGUUUACUUUUCCACCUCAUUGAUGUUGAACUUGACCAUGUGACUUGCCAAUGAGGAAGUAACAGAUUUGAUGUAAGCUGAGGCUCCGUACUUGGUUGCACCAUUGAUGUGACUGCAUUUGACUGUGUCCAGUGAUUUACCAUGACAAGAGCUUUCUCCCACAUGGCUGCUGCCCCUUUUUCCUGGGCCCCAGUACAAGUACACUUGGUCAGACCUAAACUCAUGCACAGCCUGGAGCCAAGCAAGGCUGAGCUGCAGGCUGAAGCAGAGCUUUCCGGGUAACCUGAACUCCUGUUGCAGAUUCAU
Molecule: long non-coding RNA, 482 nt
Filed under: Homo sapiens (human)
Lineage: Eukaryota; Metazoa; Chordata; Mammalia; Primates; Hominidae
Description: HSALNT0228837
Source: RNAcentral